GACGAACGCUGGCGGCGUGCUUAACACAUGCAAGUCGAACGGAAAGGCCCUGCUUUUGUGGGGUGCUCGAGUGGCGAACGGGUGAGUAACACGUGAGUAACCUGCCCUUGACUUUGGGAUAACUUCAGGAAACUGGGGCUAAUACCGGAUAGGAGCUCCUGCUGCAUGGUGGGGGUUGGAAAGUUUCGGCGGUUGGGGAUGGACUCGCGGCUUAUCAGCUUGUUGGUGGGGUAGUGGCUUACCAAGGCUUUGACGGGUAGCCGGCCUGAGAGGGUGACCGGCUACAUUGGGACGGAGAUACGGCACAGACUCCUACGGGAGGCAGCGGUGGGGAAUAUUGCACAAGGGGCGGAAGCCUGAUGCAGCAACGCCGGGUGCGGGAUGACGGCCUUCGGGUUGUAAACCGCUUUCGCCUGUGACGAAGAGUGAGUGACGGUAAUGGGUAAAGAAGCACCGGCUAACUACGUG
Molecule: ribosomal RNA, 468 nt
Filed under: uncultured bacterium
Lineage: Bacteria
Description: partial 16S ribosomal RNA
Rfam family: Bacterial small subunit ribosomal RNA
Source: RNAcentral